Lonchura striata (white-rumped munia) is the source of this 230-nucleotide non-coding RNA. Lineage: Eukaryota; Metazoa; Chordata; Aves; Passeriformes; Estrildidae. The record is from RefSeq and is a predicted model, not a curated record.
CCGUUGUUCAUCGCCCACACGGAAAAGGACAUUUCCCAGUUUCCUCCUGGAGGCGUCUUUGUGCUGCCGCACUUUGUGCAGGCAGAUGGGAAGUCCCAGCCACAUCCUAUAAGUGUUUACCUACAAGGCACUGGCACAACAUGCAAAACCAACACCAAGCACCAAACGACUCUGGGAAACCUUCCCAGCCAACGCCUCCUUCGUCGUCCAUGUCUUUCUCCAAGUCGGAU